GUCUUGUGCCUGCUAUUGUUGCUCCAAUCGUUGGAAGAGUGGAACGUCUAUUUGUUUCCACCGGUACAUGUAUUCAUCCAAGGGAUGACAGAGAAAAAUACAGGCAUACACUGACGGCACAGGCAGUCCCUUCUUUGUUUCUUUGUCAUCCACCCCUCAAGCAGCCUGUCAUCCAAAAGAGGAAGCCUCCCAUCAAAAGAAGUCUGCCAACAGAGGAUACAGUACCAUCUGGGCCUUCACCCAAAAGGAUUCACAAUGAACAUUCAUUAAUUUGAAUGAGGAGUUGAUGAAAGAAAAGCUGCAAGACACUCGGAAAAGGCUUGCUGAAACAAUGAAGGAACUCAAGUUUGCGAAAAGAAAAAUCAAGACGAGAGAGAAGACCAUCUCAUCUCUCCUUAGCAGCAUUUUUAUGAUCAAUAAUAUUUAGAAGAUGAAAAUGACCAUUGUGAACAGCUCAUUAGGCAUUUCAUUUUGCUGUACAUUAAGAUUGUUUCCCAACAUCACGGCAGGCUGUUCACUCGUCG
Long non-coding RNA from Lytechinus variegatus (green sea urchin), 524 nucleotides. RefSeq lists it as uncharacterized. Lineage: Eukaryota; Metazoa; Echinodermata; Echinoidea; Temnopleuroida; Toxopneustidae. The record is from RefSeq and is a predicted model, not a curated record. The transcript is spliced from 2 exons.